Araneus ventricosus is the source of this 72-nucleotide non-coding RNA. NCBI's taxonomy places the organism in Eukaryota, Metazoa, Arthropoda, Arachnida, Araneae, Araneidae. The record is from the annotation of a GenBank genome assembly.
GACUCGGUGGCGUGACGGUAGCGCGUCUGACUCCAGAUCAGGCGGGUGCGUGUUCAAAUCACGUCCGGGUCA